CCUACGGGAGGCAGCAGUAGGGAAUCUUCCACAAUGGGCGAAAGCCUGAUGGAGCAACGCCGCGUGGGUGAAGAAGGUCUUCGGAUCGUAAAACCCUGUUGUUAGAGAAGAAAGUGCGUGAGAGUAACUGUUCACGUUUCGACGGUAUCUAACCAGAAAGCCACGGCUAACUACGUGCCAGCAGCGGCGGUAAUACGUAGGUGGCAAGCGUUAUCCGGAUUGAUUGGGCGUAAAGGGAACGCAGGCGGUCUGUUAAGUCUGAUGUGAAAGCCUUCGGCUUAACCGGAGUAGUGCAUUGGAAACUGGGAGACUUGAGUGCAGAAGAGGAGAGUGGAACUCCAUGUGUAGCGGUGAAAUGCGUAGAUAUAUGGAAGAACACCAGUGGCGAAAGCAGCUCUCUGGUCUGUAACUGACGCUGAGGUUCGAAAGCGUGGGUAGCAAACAGGAUUAGAUACCCCUGUAGUC
RNAcentral lists this ribosomal RNA (465 nucleotides) under uncultured bacterium. Its description in RNAcentral is "partial 16S ribosomal RNA". It matches the Rfam family "Bacterial small subunit ribosomal RNA", at positions 338 to 795 of the family's 1533-position model. The record is from RNAcentral.